CCCACGACGUUGCUGAACAUCAAAUCCUCCAGGUUUUGUACGUACACUGUAGCCUUUGAAUGGAAGAAAAUAUCAUCAAUCAAUAAACAUAUAGUGAGAAAAAUAGUUUGGAAGUAAUGUAUAUGCUUUUAGAGGGACUGUGUCAACAGGAUAGAUUCAGGCCGAUAACUCUGGCACCAUUACUAUGCAACCAGCUGUGUACGUUUCUGAAUGCUUGCUGAUACAUUUUGCUAUUUUCUGCCAGAGCCAUAGCUAUAUUUGUAGUAGACAAGUACAGUCCUUCAUUUAUUUUUGCCCUAGAAAAUACACAUUAAGCAUGUGGUUUUGGGUUAGCAAACAAAGCCCCCAAAUGCUAGCUAGCUACCUAACUUGCAAAUGCAGGUUAUAUCUUUGUGCCGAGUUGUCCAGGUAGCUAUCUUUGUUCAGGUAGUUGUUAGCAAGGUAGCUAGUUAACGUGAUCUUUGCUCAUUAACAUUUAGUAAUUUAGCAGACGCUCUUAUCCAGAGUGACUUACAGUUAGUGUAUUCAUCUUAAGAUAGCUAGGUGCAAAUAUACAGUGGAAGUCGGAAGUUUACAUACACCUUAGCCAAAUACAUUUAAACUCAGUUUUUCACAGUUCCUGCAAUUUAAUCCUAGUACAAAUUCCCUGUCUUAGUUCAGUUAGGAUCACCAUUUUAUUUUAAGAAUGUGAAAUGUCAGAAUAAUAGUAGAGAGAAUGAUUUAUUUCAGCUUGUAUUUCUUUCAUCUCAUUCCCAGUGGGUCAGAAGUUUACAUACACUCAAUUAGUAUUUUGUAGCAUUGCCUUUAAAUUGUUUAACUUGGGUCAAACGUUUUGGGUAGCCUUCCACAAACUUCCCAAAAUAAGUUGGGUGAAUUUUGGCUCAUUCCUCCUGACAGAGCUGGUGUAACUGAGUCAGUUUGUAGCCACAGGUACACCUCCAGUUGACUCAAAUUAUGUCAAAUUAUGUCAAUUCGCCUAUCAGAAGCUUCAAAAGCCAUGACAUCAUUUUCUGGAAUUUUCCAAGCUGUUUAAAGGCACAGUCAACUUAGUGUAUGUACACUUCUGACCCACUGGAAUUGUGAUACAGUGAAUUAUAAUUGAAAUAAUCUGUCUGUUAACAAUUGUUGGAAACAUU
RNAcentral lists this long non-coding RNA (1136 nucleotides) under Salmo salar (Atlantic salmon). RNAcentral describes it as "lncRNA (ENSSSAG00000101749.1)". Lineage: Eukaryota; Metazoa; Chordata; Actinopteri; Salmoniformes; Salmonidae. The record is from RNAcentral.